This 252-nucleotide ribosomal RNA is filed under the name uncultured bacterium. Its description in RNAcentral is "partial 16S ribosomal RNA". It matches the Rfam family "Bacterial small subunit ribosomal RNA", at positions 524 to 776 of the family's 1533-position model. The record is from RNAcentral.
UACGAAGGGGGCUAGCGUUGCUCGGAAUCACUGGGCGUAAAGCGCACGUAGGCGGAUUGCUAAGUCAGGGGUGAAAUCCUGGAGCCCAACUCCAGAACUGCCUUGAUACUGGCGACCUUGAGUCCGGGAGAGGUGAGUGGAACUGCGAGUGUAGAGGUGAAAUUCGUAGAUAUUCGCAAGAACACCAGUGGCGAAGGCGGCUCACUGGCCCGGUACUGACGCUGAGGUGCGAAAGCGUGGGGAGCAAACAGG